GGAAUCUUGCUGUGAUGAGUUUUAAAUGCCUCCCAUACUGAAUGUUCUCCAACCUCUGUCUCCAGCUCCAAUCUCUGGAUUUAGAGAUCUCUGGAUAGAGUUCACUCUAUCUAGCUCCACAUUCCUAAAAGGAUGAGAAAACCUGGAGGCCUCUAAGCACUUUAUGCUGAAUUGGUUUGCACCCAAAACAUCAUAGUCCUGUAGAAUUUCACGAGAACUAUGUGAGCAUAGUUCUAGUUUCUUUGAAUGGCACAUCACUCCAGCUGCUUAAACCAGGGCCCAGAAGAGUCUUAAAUGCCUUCUUUACCCUUUUACUCCAUGUCCAUGCAGUCUACCUGCUUUCAGAACCCAGAGGAAAAGGAUGUCCUCAUCCCCAAUUUACAGCAAAAGCCAUGAAUUUACAGAUGACAGCUUCAGAAUUCAUGUCAGGAUAUGUGUUCUAAUCUGAAUAAAGCAUUAUUUCCAA
This is a long non-coding RNA of Homo sapiens (human), 466 nucleotides long. Lineage: Eukaryota; Metazoa; Chordata; Mammalia; Primates; Hominidae. The record is from Ensembl.